RNAcentral lists this non-coding RNA (75 nucleotides) under Cellulomonas massiliensis. Its description in RNAcentral is "Glycine riboswitch". It matches the Rfam family "Glycine riboswitch aptamer", at positions 8 to 87 of the family's 94-position model. Rfam says of the family: This family represents the bacterial glycine riboswitch. Glycine riboswitches usually consist of two metabolite-binding aptamers domains with similar structures in tandem. The aptamers cooperatively bind glycine to regulate the expression of downstream genes. The record is from RNAcentral. Lineage: Bacteria; Bacillati; Actinomycetota; Actinomycetes; Micrococcales; Cellulomonadaceae.
CGGCGGGAGAGCCCGCCCACGGCGGCGCCGAAGGAGCAACCCUCCCCGGGAAUCUCUCAGGCCCCUGUACCGCCG